This 238-nucleotide ribosomal RNA is filed under the name uncultured bacterium. RNAcentral describes it as "partial 16S ribosomal RNA". It matches the Rfam family "Bacterial small subunit ribosomal RNA", at positions 95 to 334 of the family's 1533-position model. The record is from RNAcentral.
CCGGCGCACGGGUGAGUAACGCGUAUGUAAUCUACCUGUAACAGAGGGAUAACCCGGAGAAAUCCGGACUAAUACCUCAUAGCACAUAUUAUUCGCAUGAAUUUUAUGUUAAAGAGACUCGGUUACAGAUGAACAUGCGUUCCAUUAGCUAGUUGGCGGGGUUACGGCCCACCAAGGCAACGAUGGAUAGGGGCUCUGAGAGGAAGGUCCCCCACACUGGUACUGAGACACGGACCAG